AAAGGACCUGUGGAUGGAUGUUGGUCAACAGCCACUGAAUAUGAGCCAUAGGUGUGCCCAGGUGGCUAAGGCCAACAGCAUCCUGGCUUGUAUCAGAAAUAGUGUGGCCAGCAGCACUAGGGAAGUGAUUGUCCCCCUGUACUCAACACUGGUGAGGCCCCACCUCCAAUACUGUGUUCAGUUUUGGGCCCCUCACUGCAGGAAAAACACUGAGGUGGUAGAGCAUGUCUAGAGAAAAGCAACAGAGCUGGUGAAGGGUCCAGAGAACAAGUCUUAUGAGGAGUGGCUGAAGGAACUGGAGGUUGUUUAGCCUGGAGAAAAGGAGGCUGACAG
This is a long non-coding RNA of Tyto alba (common barn owl), 333 nucleotides long. RefSeq lists it as uncharacterized. The transcript has 3 exons. NCBI's taxonomy places the organism in Eukaryota, Metazoa, Chordata, Aves, Strigiformes, Tytonidae. The record is from RefSeq and is a predicted model, not a curated record.